This 51-nucleotide transfer RNA is filed under the name Sharpea azabuensis. It matches the Rfam family "tRNA", at positions 1 to 49 of the family's 71-position model. Rfam says of the family: Transfer RNA (tRNA) molecules are approximately 80 nucleotides in length. Their secondary structure includes four short double-helical elements and three loops (D, anti-codon, and T loops). Lineage: Bacteria; Bacillati; Bacillota; Erysipelotrichia; Erysipelotrichales; Coprobacillaceae. The record is from Rfam by way of RNAcentral.
GGUCUCUUAGCUCAGUCGGUAGAGCAGGGGAUUGAAAAUCCCCGUGUCGCU